CGGCAACAGCUCAAAUUUGAAAUCUGGCGUCUUUGGCGUCCGAGUUGUAAUUUGCAGAGGAUGCUUCUGGGUUAGCCAACGGUCUAAGCUUCUUGGAACAGGACGUCACAGAGGGUGAGAAUCCCGUAUGUGACCGUCAGGCGCCCUCUACGUAGCUCCUUCGAC
RNAcentral lists this ribosomal RNA (165 nucleotides) under Capnodiales sp. RNAcentral describes it as "partial large subunit ribosomal RNA". It matches the Rfam family "Eukaryotic large subunit ribosomal RNA", at positions 99 to 261 of the family's 3401-position model. The record is from RNAcentral. Lineage: Eukaryota; Fungi; Ascomycota; Dothideomycetes; Capnodiales.